UGCAAGUCGAGCGGAUGAAGGGAGCUUGCUCUCUGAUUCAGCGGCGGACGGGUGAGUAAUGCCUAGGAAUCUGCCUGAUAGUGGGGGACAACGUUUCGAAAGGAACGCUAAUACCGCAUACGUCCUACGGGAGAAAGCAGGGGACCUUCGGGCCUUGCGCUAUCAGAUGAGCCUAGGUCGGAUUAGCUUGUUGGUGAGGUAAUGGCUCACCAAGGCGACGAUCCGUAACUGGUCUGAGAGGAUGAUCAGUCACACUGGAACUGAGACACGGUCCAGACUCCUACGGGAGGCAGCAGUGGGGAAUAUUGGACAAUGGGCGAAAGCCUGAUCCAGCCAUGCCGCGUGUGUGAAGAAGGUCUUCGGAUUGUAAAGCACUUUAAGUUGGGAGGAAGGGCAUUAACCUAAUACGUUAGUGUUUUGACGUUACCGACAGAAUAAGCACCGGCUAACUUCGUGCCAGCAGCCGCGGUAAUACGAAGGGUGCAAGCGUUAAUCGGAAUUACUGGGCGUAAAGCGCGCGUAGGUGGUUUGUUAAGUUGAAUGUGAAAGCCCCGGGCUCAACCUGGGAACUGCAUCCAAAACUGGCAAGCUAGAGUAUGGCAGAGGGUGGUGGAAUUUUCCUGUGUAGCGGUGAAAUGCGUAGAUAUAGGAAGGAACACCAGUGGCGAAUGCGACCACCUGGGCUAAUACUG
Molecule: ribosomal RNA, 692 nt
Filed under: Pseudomonas sp. LCKS880-Isolate32
Lineage: Bacteria; Pseudomonadati; Pseudomonadota; Gammaproteobacteria; Pseudomonadales; Pseudomonadaceae
Description: bacterial SSU rRNA
Rfam family: Bacterial small subunit ribosomal RNA
Source: RNAcentral